GACCAUCAGGUGAUGGUCAGGCAGUUGUUAAACUGUCUCUCUAAAGUAAUCAUUGGUUGCAGCUGGUGCCAGGGAAAGACAGUCUCCCAAUAAAUAGAAACACCUGAAGCUGGUGAUCAGCAGCUUCCUGAUAAGAUCUCAGGAGUCGGAUGAGAGGGCUCACACAUGCGCACUAAGAGGCAAAAUGGCAGUCUUUAACUGUUGACAUGACCUCCUUGGAACAUUCAGACUGAGAACUACCUGUAAUUUGAGCGAAAAAAAUCUUCUUUUGGAAACUCCUUAAGAUAUAGUCUGCCUUACUGCACGCUAUUGAGUUCUGGAGGCUGGAGAGUCCAAGGUCAGGAGGCUACAUCUGCUUGGCAUCUGUUGGUUGGAAUGUGGGUAUGGUUGCUGGAGGUGAAAUAGAAAUUCUGAACCAGGAGCACAUUUUGGAAAUGAGGUCACCACUGCACAACAACAGAGUAAAAGAAGUCUGUGUCCUGAAACCGAGAAACACCAUUCCAGUCCUGUAGCUCCUGCCUUAUUUUAACAAGAGACAGAAAGAAAUUCCUAUUUUACCUAAGGCCCUGUUAGUUUGAGCUUUCUCUAACUUUUGGCUGAUACUUAGCAAUCAGCAAGAAACUUUAUGAUUUUGUUUUUGCUCCUAGGUCUACCUGAAUGAAGGAAAAAGACUGUCCCGCGUAUUAAUUUCAACUAGAAAAGAGAUAAAGCGAAUUAAUUUUAAAAAUAUUUCUACUAACCUCUAG
Molecule: long non-coding RNA, 746 nt
Filed under: Homo sapiens (human)
Lineage: Eukaryota; Metazoa; Chordata; Mammalia; Primates; Hominidae
Description: HSALNT0321567
Source: RNAcentral